GCCUGCGUGGUGUAGUGGUCAGAACACUUAACGCGUAACUGAAAGGUCCGUGGUUCGAUUCCCGGCGAAGGCG
This 73-nucleotide transfer RNA is filed under the name Stegodyphus mimosarum. It matches the Rfam family "tRNA". From Rfam's summary of the family: Transfer RNA (tRNA) molecules are approximately 80 nucleotides in length. Their secondary structure includes four short double-helical elements and three loops (D, anti-codon, and T loops). Lineage: Eukaryota; Metazoa; Arthropoda; Arachnida; Araneae; Eresidae. The record is from Rfam by way of RNAcentral.